This 466-nucleotide ribosomal RNA is filed under the name uncultured bacterium. RNAcentral describes it as "partial 16S ribosomal RNA". It matches the Rfam family "Bacterial small subunit ribosomal RNA", at positions 28 to 507 of the family's 1533-position model. The record is from RNAcentral.
GAUGAACGCUGGCGGCGUGCUUAACACAUGCAAGUCGAACGGAAAGGCCCAAGCUUGCUUGGGUACUCGAGUGGCGAACGGGUGAGUAACACGUGGGUGAUCUGCCCUGCACUUCGGGAUAAGCCUGGGAAACUGGGUCUAAUACCGGAUAGGACCACAUUUUGGAUGGUGUGGUGGAAAGUUUUUCGGUGUGGGAUGAGCUCGCGGCCUAUCAGCUUGUUGGUGGGGUAAUGGCCUACCAAGGCGUCGACGGGUAGCCGGCCUGAGAGGGUGUACGGCCACAUUGGGACUGGGAUACGGCCCAGACUCCUACGGGAGGCAGCAGGGGGGAAUAUUGCACAAUGGGCGCGAGCCUGAUGCAGCGACGCCGCGGGGGGGAGGACGGGCUUCGGGUUGUAAACUCCUUUCGCUAGGGACGAAGCGUUAUGUGACGGUACCUGGAGAAGAAGCACCGGCUAACUACGUG